RNAcentral lists this transfer RNA (83 nucleotides) under Plasmodium gaboni. Its description in RNAcentral is "tRNA-Val". The stretch from base 1 to 73 matches the Rfam family "tRNA". Rfam says of the family: Transfer RNA (tRNA) molecules are approximately 80 nucleotides in length. Their secondary structure includes four short double-helical elements and three loops (D, anti-codon, and T loops). Further hydrogen bonds mediate the characteristic L-shaped molecular structure. tRNAs have two regions of fundamental functional importance: the anti-codon, which is responsible for specific mRNA codon recognition, and the 3' end, to which the tRNAs corresponding amino acid is attached (by aminoacyl-tRNA synthetases). tRNAs cope with the degeneracy of the genetic code in two manners: having more than one tRNA (with a specific anti-codon) for a particular amino acid; and 'wobble' base-pairing, i.e. permitting non-standard base-pairing at the 3rd anti-codon position. The record is from RNAcentral. Lineage: Eukaryota; Apicomplexa; Aconoidasida; Haemosporida; Plasmodiidae.
GCGAGCAUGGUCUAGUGGCUAUGACGUUCGCCUCACACGCGAAAGAUCCCGAGUUCGAUCCUCGGUGCUCGUAUUUUAAAUAA